CACUUACCAAACUUUUGCUGAUUACCUCAAAAAGAAGGUGUAAACUAUCUGUUGUUUACCUUCACACUUACCAAACUUUUGCUGAUUACCUCAAAAAGAAGGUGUAAACUAUCUGUUGUUUACCUUCACACUUACCAAACUUUUGCUGAAUACCUCAAAAAGAAGGUGUAAACUAUCUGUCUUUAACCGUCACACUUACCAAACUUUUGCUGAUUACCUCAAAAAGAAGGUGUAAACUAUCUGUCUUUAACCGUCACAC
RNAcentral lists this long non-coding RNA (259 nucleotides) under Mytilus galloprovincialis (Mediterranean mussel). The record is from RNAcentral. Lineage: Eukaryota; Metazoa; Mollusca; Bivalvia; Mytilida; Mytilidae.